This 815-nucleotide ribosomal RNA is filed under the name Streptomyces sp. Sp080513G1-12. RNAcentral's name for it is "bacterial SSU rRNA". It matches the Rfam family "Bacterial small subunit ribosomal RNA", at positions 39 to 869 of the family's 1533-position model. The record is from RNAcentral. Lineage: Bacteria; Bacillati; Actinomycetota; Actinomycetes; Kitasatosporales; Streptomycetaceae.
GCGGCGUGCUUAACACAUGCAAGUCGAACGAUGAACCACUUCGGUGGGGAUUAGUGGCGAACGGGUGAGUAACACGUGGGCAAUCUGCCCUGCACUCUGGGACAAGCCCUGGAAACGGGGUCUAAUACCGGAUAUGACCCUCGCAGGCAUCUGUGAGGGUGUAAAGCUCCGGCGGUGCAGGAUGAGCCCGCGGCCUAUCAGCUUGUUGGUGAGGUAACGGCUCACCAAGGCGACGACGGGUAGCCGGCCUGAGAGGGCGACCGGCCACACUGGGACUGAGACACGGCCCAGACUCCUACGGGAGGCAGCAGUGGGGAAUAUUGCACAAUGGGCGAAAGCCUGAUGCAGCGACGCCGCGUGAGGGAUGACGGCCUUCGGGUUGUAAACCUCUUUCAGCAGGGAAGAAGCGAAAGUGACGGUACCUGCAGAAGAAGCGCCGGCUAACUACGUGCCAGCAGCCGCGGUAAUACGUAGGGCGCAAGCGUUGUCCGGAAUUAUUGGGCGUAAAGAGCUCGUAGGCGGCUUGUCGCGUCGGUUGUGAAAGCCCGGGGCUUAACCCCGGGUCUGCAGUCGAUACGGGCAGGCUAGAGUUCGGUAGGGGAGAUCGGAAUUCCUGGUGUAGCGGUGAAAUGCGCAGAUAUCAGGAGGAACACCGGUGGCGAAGGCGGAUCUCUGGGCCGAUACUGACGCUGAGGAGCGAAAGCGUGGGGAGCGAACAGGAUUAGAUACCCUGGUAGUCCACGCCGUAAACGGUGGGCACUAGGUGUGGGCGACAUUCCACGUCGUCCGUGCCGCAGCUAACGCAUUAAGUGCCC